GUUCAUGGGUCUCCUAAGAAAAUAUUCCCUAGAGGCACACUUCCCUGAAGAAUAAUUUACCUUGGAGAUAUGUGCAGUGAUGUAUUUUUCAUCCUUGCCAACAGCAGACAGAGUCUAGUUAUACCAACCGCUCAAAUUAUUUUAUAGAGAAAAUAUAGGUGAUUGUUAGUAGAAUAUAUAGAGGACAGUUGCAUAGUGUGUACAACAUCCAAAUCUUGAUAAACUCAACUUACUUCCUUAAUGCUACUGAAAAAAAAAAUAUAAGGUAUUUCAGUACCAACACUCUGUCCUUAGACAUCCUUAAUUAUUUGAAUACUUUAACGCUGAGGCCUUCUCAUUCUUAUCUUUUUAGGUGAAAAAUUCUCUGAGAGCCUGAAGAAAAAACUGCAACCUUUGACCAUCUUACUUGUUUGAUAUUAUGGCCCUUUCCAUGGCAACAGAUUGUGAUGUCAUGCAUGGACAGAUUAUGAGGUCAAAAAUUGCCCAGGAUGGAGCCAGGGGAGGAUGUAGGAAAGAUUCUGGAACUACGUAAAUAUAUUUCAAAGUAUUCAAAAGAAGUGGAAAACACACUUACAUUAAAGGUAUCAAAAGCAUCAAACCACAAGGAAGGUGCUUAUCAUAAACUCAGAUUACAAAUGGCAAAAUCAAGGCACAGGAUAUUUUUUCUGCUUUGCACAGGAAAAAAUGCUUUCAACAAUUUGAAAAUAAUCUUCCACGUGUAUAGCAAACCAAGACUCUGUUCUACCCAUUUACAGAAGGAGAUAUUAAUACAAAUGAAGAGUGAAUCUGAAUGAAGAGACCUUGCAAUGAGGCCAUCUCAAGGCUAUCAAGACCACAAUGCAGUUUCUCAAAUUCCCUGAAGCAGAAAUGCUGCCUACUUCUCUGCAUUUUUCCUUUGUGUAAGGGUCUUAUGCCUGUCACUUGCUAAGGUGAAGAAGAGUCUGUGAACUACUAACAUCAGAUUCCACCUCUGACCUUUUUUCCAGGGUUUUCUUGUCUCCAAAUCUACCACUGUGGCAGAAAGUCCUAAUGCUACUCCCAAUCAUCUUCAUGUACACCAUACUCUCUUGGAAAUUUGAUUCACAGAAAUGAUAAGAUACGCUGGUGUCUUUACCAGGAGGAUCUUCCAACAGAGCAACAUAGAUGAAUAGAGCCAGCAUGGGGGACAGUACUGACAAAGCACUUACUUUGUCUCCAUAUUGGAUGCUGAGGCAUCUAGUAUUUCUAAUUUAGCAUUUUUGCCAGGAACUUUGAAUCCAAACUCCACUUUCAACAUAUACAUGUAAAUAAUUGUCAGGUUAUAUUCAUGAAAACAAGACCAAAACUUAGACCACAGAUUUUCCAGGGAAAAAUGAGUGCUGCAUUUCUGGCAAUUAGGAGCAGUAAAGUAAACAUUUAGUCACCAUUGACUCAUGAGCCGAAAAACACAGUAGUCAAUUACAG
Molecule: long non-coding RNA, 1443 nt
Filed under: Gallus gallus (chicken)
Lineage: Eukaryota; Metazoa; Chordata; Aves; Galliformes; Phasianidae
Description: lncRNA (ENSGALG00010018409.1)
Source: RNAcentral